Molecule: small nuclear RNA, 195 nt
Organism: Panicum virgatum (switchgrass)
Lineage: Eukaryota; Viridiplantae; Streptophyta; Magnoliopsida; Poales; Poaceae
Product: U2 spliceosomal RNA
Exons: 1
Source: RefSeq, a predicted model, not a curated record
AUACCUUUCUCGGCCUUUUGGCUAAGAUCAAGUGUAGUAUCUGUUCUUAUCAGUUUAAUAUCUGAUAUGUGGGCCAUGUGCUCACUUCGAUAUUAAAUUAAUUUUUUAAGGGGAGGGUCCAUCAUAGUGGCUUGCCACUGGGCCCUUAGGCGUCGCUUGGGCUUUGCACUACUGCCCUAGCCUGGCGCACCCCGC